This 304-nucleotide ribosomal RNA is filed under the name uncultured Alphaproteobacteria bacterium. Its description in RNAcentral is "bacterial SSU rRNA". It matches the Rfam family "Bacterial small subunit ribosomal RNA", at positions 20 to 352 of the family's 1533-position model. The record is from RNAcentral. Lineage: Bacteria; Pseudomonadati; Pseudomonadota; Alphaproteobacteria.
UGGCUCAGAACGAACGCUGGCGGCAUGCCUAACACAUGCAAGUCGAACGAGACCUUCGGGUCUAGUGGCGCACGGGUGCGUAACGCGUGGGAAUCUGCCCUCUGGUUCGGAACAACUCAGGGAAACUUGAGCUAAUACCGGAUAAUGACUUCGGUCCAAAGAUUUAUCGCUGAAGGAUCGGCCCGCGUCUGAUUAGCUAGUUGGUGAGGUAACGGCUCACCAAGGCGACGAUCAGUAGCUGGUCUGAGAGGAUGAUCAGCCUCACUGGGACUGAGACACGGCCCAGACGACUACGGGAGGCAGC